This 258-nucleotide ribosomal RNA is filed under the name uncultured bacterium. RNAcentral's name for it is "partial 16S ribosomal RNA". It matches the Rfam family "Bacterial small subunit ribosomal RNA", at positions 524 to 777 of the family's 1533-position model. The record is from RNAcentral.
UACGUAGGGGGCAAGCGUUGUCCGGAAUUAUUGGGCGUAAAGCGCGCGCAGGCGGUCGUUUAAGUCUGGUGUUUAAGCCCGGGGCUCAACCCCGGUUCGCAUCGGAAACUGGAUGACUUGAGUGUAGGAGAGGAAAGUGGAAUUCCGACGUGUAGCGGUGAAAUGCGUAGAGAUGUGGAGGAACACCAGUGGCGAAGGCGGACUUCUGGCCUAAUAACUGACGCUGGAGGCGCGAAAGCGGUGGGGAGCAAAACAGGG